UGGGGAAUAUUGGACAAUGGGGGCAACCCUGAUCCAGCCAUGCCGCGUGAGUGAUGAAGGCCUUCGGGUUGUAAAGCUCUUUUGGCGGGGACGAUGAUGACGGUACCCGCAGAAUAAGCCCCGGCUAACUUCGUGCCAGCAGCCGCGGUAAGACGAAGGGGGCUAGCGUUGUUCGGAAUUACUGGGCGUAAAGCGAGUGUAGGCGGUUGCCGUAGUCAGGUGUGAAAGCCUUGAGCUCAACUCAAGAAAUGCACUUGAUACUGGGUGACUAGAGGACCGGAGAGGAUAGUGGAAUUCCCAGUGUAGUGGUGAAAUACGUAGAGAUUGGGAAGAACACCAGUGGCGAAGGCGGCUAUCUGGACGGUUACUGACGCUAAGACUCGAAAGCGUGGGGAGCAAAACAGGAUUAGAUACCCUGGUAGUCCACGCCGUAAACGAUGGGUGCUAGACGUUGGCGAGCUUGCUCGUCAGUGUCGCAGCUAACGCGUUAAGCACCCCGCCUGGGGAGUACGGCCGCAAGGGUUGAAANUCAAAUGAAUUGCGGGGUCAUAGCUG
Molecule: ribosomal RNA, 555 nt
Filed under: uncultured bacterium
Lineage: Bacteria
Description: partial 16S ribosomal RNA
Rfam family: Bacterial small subunit ribosomal RNA
Source: RNAcentral